UACGUAGGGUGCAAGCGUUGUCCGGAAUUAUUGGGCGUAAAGAGCUCGUAGGCGGUCUGUCGCGUCUGCUGUGAAAACUCAGGGCUUAACCCUGAGCUUGCAGUGGGUACGGGCAGACUAGAGUGCGGUAGGGGAGACUGGAAUUCCUGGUGUAGCGGUGAAAUGCGCAGAUAUCAGGAGGAACACCGGUGGCGAAGGCGGGUCUCUGGGCCGUAACUGACGCUGAGGAGCGAAAGCGUGGGUAGCAAACAGG
RNAcentral lists this ribosomal RNA (253 nucleotides) under uncultured bacterium. Its description in RNAcentral is "partial 16S ribosomal RNA". It matches the Rfam family "Bacterial small subunit ribosomal RNA", at positions 524 to 776 of the family's 1533-position model. The record is from RNAcentral.